This 1050-nucleotide long non-coding RNA is filed under the name Strigops habroptila (Kakapo). Its description in RNAcentral is "lncRNA (ENSSHBG00005008523.1)". The record is from RNAcentral. Lineage: Eukaryota; Metazoa; Chordata; Aves; Psittaciformes; Psittacidae.
UUUUUUUAAAUGCAAAUCAGAAUUCAGGAAACAUUAGAAUUUAAAUUGCCCCUAUAGCAAGGCUACAUUAAUAUAUGUAUGCCUUAGAAGAGUUGUCAGUUAUGUGAUUACAAACUAUUUUUCCAUUCUCUGUACUCUAGGUUCUGUCACUGGACUGCCUUUGUUGUGUACUUGUACAAAUCCUAGCAGAUCAGCAUCCUUAUAAAAAUAAAUGCAUGCAGCCACAUUCUCAAGUAUAACUGAAGUAAUUCACUGCCUGAAUGGAAACUUGUGAUAUGCUCACCAUGUGAUUUAAUUGAAACAGAUUAGGUUUAUCAGUAUAUGCAGAAUGUUAUCCUAUAGCUAAGAAGACAGGAUUCCUUACCUUGAGAAAGGGGCAAAAAAGUGAAAAGUAGAAAACUCUUAUCCCAGGUACUAUUGAACAGCCUCAAUACUGGAUGUCUCCAAAUGGCCCAUCUCUUCCUCCCAACCCGACAUACAUACAACCCUUCUUCACACCACUUAGACUUCACUCAUACACUAUUUUGGGGAUCUUUCCCUCUCCUGUCUUUGCAAAGAUGCAUUACCAAGGGUGUAUCUUGUUAAAUUUUCAUACUUAAAGAUGAUGAGGACAUGUUUUGUAGAUGUUUGCUUCAGAUUUAAGUGUCUUAGAAAGUUUAACAGCUAAAUGGACAAAACAUAGCAUCUAUAGCUCAUGCAAUAUCAAUAUAUUGCUUUGAUAUCCAUACACUAUCAUGUAGUACAGCAGUGUGAUAACAUGACAUUUGGUGAUUCACGCUCAAGCCUGUCCAGCUGAAGAGCAUUCUUCAGUGACAACCCAUUGACACACUGGACUGGGGGCUGAUCUUUAUAGAUGACAACUGUGUUACUCUACCUCUUGUCAUUGCCCUCCAUGGAAUACAGCCAGGUAUCCACAAAGUCUCUCAUCUGCUCUGCAUUACCAUGUCUAAGACUUUCACAGUUCUUGAGCAAAUGCCCUGCAGCCAUACCACCACCCCUUUGGCCACAAUUCCUGCAGAACUCAUGAAACAAUGUCCUCAGAAGAACUCC